GGAGUUGUGGCUCAGUGGUAGAGCACUCGCCUAGCAUGUGUGAGGCCCUGGGUUUGAUCCUCAGCACCA
Molecule: transfer RNA, 69 nt
Filed under: Ictidomys tridecemlineatus (thirteen-lined ground squirrel)
Lineage: Eukaryota; Metazoa; Chordata; Mammalia; Rodentia; Sciuridae
Description: Spermophilus tridecemlineatus (thirteen-lined ground squirrel) tRNA
Rfam family: tRNA
About the family: Transfer RNA (tRNA) molecules are approximately 80 nucleotides in length. Their secondary structure includes four short double-helical elements and three loops (D, anti-codon, and T loops).
Source: Rfam by way of RNAcentral